UAGGUGAACCUGCGGAAGGAUCAUUAACGAGUUGAACGGGGUUGUAGCUGGCCUUCACAGGCAUGUGCACACCUCACUCAUCCACUCUACACCUGUGCACUUACUGUGGGUUUCGAGAGGCCGCGCUUGCGUGGUUGAUCGGGCUCACGUCUAUUACAAACUCUUCAGUAUCAGAAUGUGUAUCGCGAUGUAACGCAUCUAUAUACAACUUUCAGCAACGGAUCUCUUGGCUCUCGCAUCGAUGAAGAACGCAGCGAAAUGCGAUAAGUAAUGUGAAUUGCAGAAUUCAGUGAAUCAUCGAAUCUUUGAACGCACCUUGCGCUCCUUGGUAUUCCGAGGAGCAUGCCUGUUUGAGUGUCGUGUAAUUCUCAACCUAUAAAUCCUUGUGGUUUUUAGGCUUGGACUUGGAGGCUUUUGCCGGCUUUACCGUCGGCUCCUCUUAAAUGCAUUAGCUUGAUUCCUUGCGGAUCGGCUCUCAGUGUGAUAAUUAUCUGCGCUGUGACCGUGAAGCGUUUGGCGAGCUUCUAACCGUCUCUUUGAGACAAACACUUUGACAUCUGACCUCAAAUCAGGUAGGACU
Molecule: ribosomal RNA, 580 nt
Filed under: Porogramme epimiltina
Lineage: Eukaryota; Fungi; Basidiomycota; Agaricomycetes; Polyporales; Polyporaceae
Description: eukaryotic LSU rRNA
Rfam family: 5.8S ribosomal RNA (bases 207-360)
Source: RNAcentral